RNAcentral lists this ribosomal RNA (405 nucleotides) under uncultured bacterium. RNAcentral describes it as "partial 16S ribosomal RNA". It matches the Rfam family "Bacterial small subunit ribosomal RNA", at positions 28 to 526 of the family's 1533-position model. The record is from RNAcentral.
GAUGAACGCUGGCGGCGUGCCUAAUACAUGCAAGUCGAGCGAAGCGGGGACGGGUGAGUAAGACGUGGAUAACCUCCUAUAAGACGGGGGGAACUACGGGAAAACGUAGCUAAACCGGCGCCUUAUAGAUGGGUCCGCGGUGCAUUAGUUAGUUGGUAAGGUAACGGCUUACCAAGGCAACGAUGCAUAGCCGAGCUGAGAGGGUGAUCGGCCACACGGGAACUGAGACACGGUCCAGACUCCUACGGGAGGCAGCAGUAGGGAAUCUUGCGCAAUGGGCGAAAGCCUGACGGAGCAACGCCGCGUGAGUGAUGAAGGUCUUCGGAUCGUAAAACUCUGUUAUCAGGGAGGCGGUACCUAAACAGAAAGCCACGGCUAACUACGUGCCAGCCGCCGCGGUAAUUC